UUCGUCUUAUCAACGUAAUGACGUAACUGGUGAAAUAACGAGGCGUAGGCCUAGUGGUGAAACAAUAUUGCGCAAUGUUAUUUUGGUAGAAGGUUGUGGCAGUGAAGGGACUGUGUGCAUGCACUUGAGGGAGUGUGUUCAUCCAGAUAGGCCUGUUUGAAGAAGAGGAAUCGGCUCCAAAACAAUUUAAACAAUGAGUGCGCACACCCAGAACAUGUCACUCGUCAGAAGGCCUUAGCUGACUUUGGACAAUGCCUAGGGACACCACGCUCUGGUCAGCACCAAAACAAACUUCUUCGAAUUCGUCUAUUUAUAGGACCUUUGCAGUAUUGCCAGAUACGCCGGCACCACCUAGGGUCGCCAAAACAAACCAUGUUUACAAUAGAUCUUCACAGAAAAGGAUGCACAUUGGCUCGAGACGACAUUCGAAAGUCGGUCAGCGGGUAGCAUGUGUGCACAGCAUGAUGCACUGUCAAGAUUUUUUACAAUUUGUAAUACAAUUUUUUAAAGGAUAUUUGAUUGACGGGGUGCAAUAGCAUCGGCCAGCAUCACCAUGGCAAUGACGGCAUGAAAGAGGCUUGGCAUCUCCAGCACAUAUCGUUUAAGAUAUGUUUCAAAUCAGUUGCAAAAAAUUUUUUCUACCACUUACAUGUAUUUCUUUUUGUUUUGUAAAUAUGAUUGCAUCGGGAUACCAAAUCUUGGUAACUCAUGUUUUUUAAAUGUGGCAUUGCAGGCCCUCCGUGCCACCCCUGGGGUUUUUAAUGCCACUCGUGCCCACACUCAAGUGUUUUGAAGAAUGUAAAAUCCAGUGUGUGAUAAACAUGUGUAAAGAAACCUUUCGUAAGAAGCCAGAAGAGCUUUACAACAAUCUUGGACUGGGAGAUGGAGGCCAUCAUAAACUUCUUGUAGGAUGAGUUGCCGCAGACAGAGAUGAAAACCAUGAUGAAUGUCCGUGAGCCAGAGGCUAUGAUUUGUUUAGUACAACAAUGCGAGGGACUUAACAAAAUUGAGGCGGAAAUAUUCUUGAGGCAGUGUCGGUGCAUGGAAGAAACGGAAACAUUGGAUUAAGGAUUUAUUUCAUAGUGAAUUACACAGUCACAAAUGGAUUACACACGUUCUGGAUUAGACUAGUUUCUGCUGCAACUGACAUUUUUGCAGGUGCCCACUCGUAGGCGAUUCCUUGAUGUCUUCCUUGGAUUUUACAUGAUAUUAUGUAAUUUUCGCCAACAUCGGGUUUUGGCGCCAAGACGUUUGUUCCUAGAACAGUUGAUUUAAAUGCCGAAUGUGGUCAGUUUUUAUUUAUAUCGCAGGUGUCUACCCAAACAUUUUUAGAUGCUUUCUGCUGAAUCUUCUAUUACUACUGUUUUUACUGGGGUUUCAUCGAUGUUUUUUGGUGGAGUGUGACUCUAAAGUAAUAGGCAGCUUGUUAUGCCCCCGCCAAUGCGUAAAGCAUUGCGGAGGCAUUAUGUUUUACCAAUGUCCGUCAGCCGGUAGGCGUCAGGCGUCUGUAAACUUUUCGUUUCCUCUCAUUUUAACAAGAACGCUUUGAGUAAUAACCAUGUAACUUUUUAUGUGGGUAGAAAAAGAUAACGUGUACAGCGGGCAUUACAGACCAAUAACUCUUUCACGAUGUCAACUAAACCUAGUCAGCUAUGACACCAGCUGCCCGGGGUUGUCUGAAAAACACUUCACUUUCCUAAUACACCAACUCAAAGUGCUCACCGGGGCAUAUGCUAUGCCCUGCGUUGCUCUUGUUAUUGCAGUAGUUUUGUUCUUCCUCUGGUUCACCUAUAAACUAUUUUUCCAAUCUCCAAUCAUGUUUGAUGCUUUAGCCAUUUUGUUUCAGCUCUUAGAUAGUAGAAAAACGUGUUAUUCAUUAUUUCUGGUAGCACAAGUCCUGGCACGAAAUACCUUUCCCGUCAUAAUAUCAGUACCAAGACGUCACAGGGUAGGUCCUAACUCCAGGAAACGCCUUACUCGUGCACUGUUCCACGUGAAAAGGGUCACUGCUUGGAGAGCUAAAUGGGUCAACAUCAGAAAAGCGCGAUAAUUCAGUCUUUGGAAUUUUUCCUUUUUUUGUGCAAUUUGUUGAUGGAAACUACUUAUGUAGAACAGGAGGUGACUGGGCAGCAGACAGCUGGGUAAUAUUGCCCUUAACCCCUCGCCUCCCUAGAGGGGACGAUAUAUCGUCCCUGUAUUUUGUCUCGCGUAGGCGGUACGAUAUAUCGUCCCUAUACUAAUGCUUUAGUACAGAACUCUCGGUACACGUUAGAUGCUAUUGUACAGUGUAUUCGUGUCCCUGGUAAUCUGCAGAAGACCAGAUUUAGUUUCAUUCAUAGUUUACAGAGGGCGCUGCAGUUUGAUUGGCGCUUGUGCAGCGUCACAGUACAAGAACUGAUUAGCAUAUAAAUUAAUAUUAUGUUGUAUUAUUCGAUCAAUCAGUAAUAGACAAUAGUCAAUCAAAGGUUAUCAAUCAAGUUACGUUGAUCAUUAACAGGUUGUAACUGCAUCAAUUACAGUUCCAUAUACUUUGUUCAAAUCAGAAAAAUCAAUCAAUUAGAGCAAAAUCAAUCAAAAAAUAUUGAUUAUUACUGAUUAUUGAUUACUUCUUACCUAAUUGAUACCCAGAAACAACGCCAAUUGAUAGCCAAGGUAAUCAGCUUUACGAAAAUGUAUGGUUUUAUUAGUCGUACUUCCACCUAUCAAAUCCCCGUGUCUUUUGCGCUUACACCUAUGAAUUGUCGUGUCUAAAUAGACCCGUGUGUCAAAUCCCCGUGUCUAUUAGCCCCAUCGAGCUUGAUGCGGCCAAUCGGGGGCUAAUUUAGACCCGUGUUCAACACAGGUUUUUAGCUCACCUCUUAGCAGAGGUGAGCUUAUCCCAUACCGUGGCGUCCGUCGUCCGUCGUCGUCGUCGUCGUCGUCGUCCGUCGUCCGUUAGCAGGGCACGUUUCGUAACUGUUAGAGCUAUUGAGUUGAAACUUGGUACACAUGUACCCUUAUGUAAUGACACCUUGGACACCAAGUUUCGGUCCGAUUCGUUUCAUGGUUUCGCCACCAGGGGGCCAAACGUUAAAAGUGAAAAUAUGCAAUAUCUCCCUUAAUAGUAGUCGGGAAAUUUUGAAAAAAAUAUGGUAGGUACUUCUAGCAAAGGUGCAUCAUAUAUCCUCCGGGUUUUUGAUUUGACCUCCUUUUCAAGGUCACAGAGGUCAAAUGGUGUAAAUUGGCCGUUAGGAUGUAACGAUGGCACGUUUCUAAACUGCAAUGACUAUUGAUACCAAAUUUGGUACACAUUUACCCCUUAGUCAGGUGAUCUCAGGGACCGAAGUUUGGUCCAAUAUGAUUCACCACUUGACCACCAGGGGGCAAAAUCCAAAAACCUUAAAAAUGUGAUUAUUCCUUAACUUCUUGCCCGAUUGCCACCAAUAUGAUAUCAUGGGUACAUCUAACCACCAUACAGUAUAUGUCACACAGGUUUUUAAUUUGACCUUCUUGUCAAGGUCACAGAGGUCAAAUGGCGUAAAUUCGCCGUUAGGCCGUAACUAUGGCACGUUUCUUAACUGCAAUGACUAUUGAUCACAAAUUAAGUACACAUGUACCCCUUGGUCAGGUGAUCUCAGGUACUGA
Lineus longissimus is the source of this 3624-nucleotide long non-coding RNA. RefSeq lists it as uncharacterized. Lineage: Eukaryota; Metazoa; Nemertea; Pilidiophora; Heteronemertea; Lineidae. The transcript has 4 exons. The record is from RefSeq and is a predicted model, not a curated record.